Molecule: non-coding RNA, 47 nt
Organism: Theobroma cacao (cacao)
Lineage: Eukaryota; Viridiplantae; Streptophyta; Magnoliopsida; Malvales; Malvaceae
Source: Rfam
ACAAUGGAGUUUUUAAACUCUACAAAUAAUUUUAUUGAUCAAAAUGU